ACGCACGCUGGCGGCGUGCUUAACACAUGCAAGUCGAACGGAAAGGCCCUGCUUUUGUGGGGUGCUCGAGUGGCGAACGGGUGAGUAACACGUGAGUAACCUGCCCUUGACUUUGGGAUAACUUCAGGAAACUGGGGCUAAUACCGGAUAGGAGCUCCUGCUGCAUGGUGGGGGUUGGAAAGUUUCGGCGGUUGGGGAUGGACUCGCGGCUUAUCAGCUUGUUGGCGGGGUAGUGGCUUACCAAGGCUUUGACGGGUAGCCGGCCUGAGAGGGUGACCGGCCACAUUGGGACUGAGAUACGGCCCAGACUCCUACGGGAGGCAGCAGUGGGGAAUAUUGCACAAUGGGCGGAAGCCUGAUGCAGCAACGCCGCGUGCGGGAUGACGGCCUUCGGGUUGUAAACCGCUUUCGCCUGUGACGAAGCGUGAGUGACGGUAAUGGGUAAAGAAGCACCGGCUAACUACGUG
RNAcentral lists this ribosomal RNA (467 nucleotides) under uncultured bacterium. RNAcentral describes it as "partial 16S ribosomal RNA". It matches the Rfam family "Bacterial small subunit ribosomal RNA", at positions 29 to 507 of the family's 1533-position model. The record is from RNAcentral.